CUCCAGGGCACCUAAGCAUGCGGCAAGAAGACAAUCAUCUGAAAGACAGGAAAAGGGCCCUUACCAAGUAUUGAAAUGGCCGGCACCUAGAUCUUGGACUUCUCAACGUUCCAGAACUGAAUCUUUUGAGACUGGGGCUACAAUCAUCACCAGGAUGAAGAUGAAGAAACAAAAGCUCAGAGCUGCCCAUCCUCCCCUACACCAUCUAGUGAAUCUGGCAGAACUCACCACACUGUGAUUUGAACAUCCUGGGAACUCUUCAGAAGCAGGUAACUGCAUUAUGCCAAUAGCUACAUUACCAAGGUUGCCAUGGCUUCCAACUGGCUUGGGAAUAAUCUGGCUGUUUGGCUAAGACAACAUCAUAGAGAAUAUUUAGAAGAGCACAACUUCCUCCCCAUGCUUAUAAAAUUAUCUUGCUAAACUGCUUACUGAUGCAGAGUUUAGAAGAAGUAAUCCUUUAUGUAAAUUUAUUUUAGAAAUUUUUAAGCAAGUAUUCUGUUAUUGACAUUUCAAGCAAGUUUUACUCUUGAAAUUGUUUUGUCACGGUAUUAAGGAGAACUUAAACAUAGAUUUUUAAAUAUAUAUAACAUAUAAAAUAAAUAUAUGUAAAGUAUAUAUAUGUAAAAUAACUAUGUAUAUAUGUAAAGUAUAUACACAUAUAUAUGUAAAAUAGAGUUGUUUUUAUCUUUGGAUGUUUUAAAUGAUUGUCAUUGAAUAUCACUGAAUGAUUUAAAAUGAUUGAGCAUUAACAUUUUCUAUUUAAAACAUCACAUGUGUUUAGCAUUAAGAACACAUUCACUUUGCAAAGUUUAAAGAACUGUAAAAUGUUAAACUUAUUCUGAAAAAACAUUCAUAAAAAUGCAAAUUUCUUGUUAAAAUUUUGAAAUAUACAUAGAUUUAUAAUAACUUACAAAAUAACAUAGCAUCAGUUAUGUUUUCUAUGUAUUAUAAUUUUUUAAAUAUACAAAGUAAUAAGUUCAAAAGAUUUGGAGAUGCCUCUUUAAGGUCUCCAUAUCUAUAAUUAUUUCAUUAAUUGAUUUUAUCUAGGUUCUAUAGUGAGAAUUAUAUUUGAUGACUAAAUGCUAAAUCAAGUUAAAUUAAAUUAACAAAUAAUUUGUUUCAAAAACCAAAGGAAAUAACAAAAAAAGUAAUUUUUGACUAUGAUGAAACAUAUACUUUUGAAAACACACAAAAUUACACUCAUAAGUUCAUUAUGUAUAUGUAACAAUUUUAAUAGCUAGACAAAAAAAGUUUGUUGCUGAUUAACUUAAAGGAAUUUAUUUCUGCAAAAUUAAAAGAACACAUAAAAGCCACGAUAUCAUAUUACUGAAAAGGAAAAUAAUGAACUGUGUCAGCAUAUCAUAACAUUUGUAUGUUUGAAUAUGAAUUUAUAAAUAUAUAUUAUAAAUAUGUACACAUCAUAUAAAAUAUGAUUUCAAAUCAUAAUUUUUCAGUAACUAGAAUAUUCUAAUUAUCCAAGAACUGAAACAUACUACAUAGACAAUAAUAAAAACACACAUUAUUUCAUAUUUCACACCUACAUCAAUGCUUUCUACAAUU
Molecule: long non-coding RNA, 1560 nt
Filed under: Homo sapiens (human)
Lineage: Eukaryota; Metazoa; Chordata; Mammalia; Primates; Hominidae
Description: HSALNT0045189
Source: RNAcentral